UGAGAAGAACUGGUUCAAACUUUAACAGUUUAAAUGUUUAAAUGUUACAUAUGUGUUAUUAUCCAGUUAUUAACACAUGUAUGUAUUUCCCUUUUUAAAUGUGUUAUUUCUGACAGUUUCCUCUCAUGAGUAUCAAGUCCAAGGUCAGUCUGCAAUUUACACUUUUCAUUUCAAACUGUUCUUUUAGCAUCAUAUGAACUGAUACAGUCUGCAAAUAACUGAACAAAGUUUUCACGCCUUGUUUGUUUAUAACAAAUCUCUCAUUCACAGUAUAGCCAUAACAACCUUUUAGAUAUUUGAUACAUGUAUUUUCCUCUAAUCUUUCAGCUCUUCCUUCACCAACACUGACAGUGAGCACAGCAGUGAUCUCAGAGACAGACUCGGUCACGUUACACUGUCAGGCACCAGCAUCUGCCUCAGUUCAUCACUGUUAUUUUUAUACUGGGGAGCAACAAAGUAUCAGAGGCGACUCGUGUCUACAGACACUUACAGGAACUGAACUGCUGUUAAUGUCACAUCAGAGAUCACCUGCUGAGGUCAAAGUCAGAUGUUUUUACACAGUGGAGGACGGAUCUGUGAAUUCUCCUUCAGCGCACAGUCACCCAUCCUCCAUCAGCAUACAAAGUCAAAAACCAGAGAUGAGUGUUCAACAUUUUGAUGGGGAAUUUGUUCUCAUCAUGUGCUCUCUGCCUGGAUCUGUGAAAGAUGAUACAAGAUGUAAUCUGUACUUUGGAGAAGCAAGUCGUCCAUUCUUAAAUGAAGCUGUCUCGAAGGAAAGCAGCAGAAAAACCAAACAGAGGUCCUGCCGCUUUUAUGUCGCAGUUGCAGAUUUUUUGAGCCAUUUACAUUAUGUUCAACAAAAGGAUGCCAGCUGUGAUUACACUUUGGAAAGUGGACCUUACUCUUUGUCACCUCGCAGUGAUCGAUACAACAUGACAGGUAAGUCAAAGAGAAACAUAGCCUAUUUUACUGUAUAUGAUGCUACUUUUGAAAUGAAUAAAAC
This 1003-nucleotide long non-coding RNA is filed under the name Oreochromis niloticus (Nile tilapia). RNAcentral describes it as "lncRNA (ENSONIG00000030709.1)". Lineage: Eukaryota; Metazoa; Chordata; Actinopteri; Cichliformes; Cichlidae. The record is from RNAcentral.